AGUAACACGUAGGUGACCUGCCCUGAAGUGGGGGAUAACUCAUCGAAAGAUGAGCUAAUACCGCAUGUGAUCACCGGUUCGUUCCGGUGCUCAAAGUCGCAAGACGCUUUAGGAGGGGCCUGCGGCCGAUUAGCUAGUUGGUGGGGUAACGGCCUACCAAGGCUGCGAUCGGUAGUUGGUCUGAGAGGAUGACCAGCCAGACUGGGACUGAGACACGGCCCAG
Molecule: ribosomal RNA, 223 nt
Filed under: uncultured bacterium
Lineage: Bacteria
Description: partial 16S ribosomal RNA
Rfam family: Bacterial small subunit ribosomal RNA
Source: RNAcentral